RNAcentral lists this ribosomal RNA (402 nucleotides) under uncultured bacterium. RNAcentral's name for it is "bacterial SSU rRNA". It matches the Rfam family "Bacterial small subunit ribosomal RNA", at positions 355 to 774 of the family's 1533-position model. The record is from RNAcentral.
UGGGGAAUAUUGGACAAUGGGGGAAACCCUGAUCCAGCAAUGCCGCGUGAGUGAAGAAGGCCUUAGGGUUGUAAAGCUCUUUCGCCCGCGAAGAUAAUGACGGUAGCGGGAGAAGAAGCCCCGGCUAACUCCGUGCCAGCAGCCGCGGUAAUACGGAGGGGGCUAGCGUUGUUCGGAAUUACUGGGCGUAAAGCGUACGUAGGCGGAUGCGCAAGUUGGGGGUGAAAUCCCGGGGCUUAACCUCGGAAUUGCCCUCAAAACUGCACGUCUUGAGACCGAGAGAGGUAAGGGGAAUUCCUAGUGUAGAGGUGAAAUUCGUAGAUAUUAGGAAGAACACCAGUGGCGAAGGCGCCUUACUGGCUCGGUACUGACGCUGAGGGACGAAAGCGUGGGGAGCAAACA